Molecule: ribosomal RNA, 891 nt
Filed under: Triticum aestivum (bread wheat)
Lineage: Eukaryota; Viridiplantae; Streptophyta; Magnoliopsida; Poales; Poaceae
Description: partial small subunit ribosomal RNA
Source: RNAcentral
AUGGAAGGAGACGGCAACGAGAUCUCGCGCCUGCCGGAGGAGCUCCUCGCGUCGAUCAUCUCCCUCACGUCGCCGCCUGACGCCGGACGCUGUGCCGCCGUCUCCCGGGCCUUCCUCGCCGCCGCGGACUCUGACGCCGUCUGGUCCUCCUUCCUGCCCCGCGACCUCCCACGGUUCGCUCAAGGCGUGCUCCGCCGCGCGCCGCCGUCCAAGAAGGGAUUGUUCAGAUGCCUCUCCGAUCAACCGGCGCUCCUCCCAGGCAACUUCGUGAGCAUGUGGCUGGACCGGGCUACGGGCGCCAAGUGCUACAUGCUCUCGGCGAGAUCCCUGCAUAUUUCGUGGGGCGAGACAAGACAAUACUGGGAGUGGAUCAAGCUCCGUUCUGACAGCUUCGGUGAAGCAGCUCAACUUCGGGGAGUUUGGUGGCUGUUAAUCCGUGGCGAAAUACAUAGCACAAUGCUCAGCCCAAACUCCAAGUACGCUGCUUACAUGGUGUUCAAGCUAGCCGAUGUGUUCUUCAAUCUCGAUUUCCCGUUUCAAGAGGCAUCAAUCAGUGUUGGAGGGAAUGACUCAACACGCCAAGUUUGCCUCCAAGCCUGCGUGGAGGAUGGGGAUGGGGAUGACGGGGUACCUCGCAAACAUAUCUUGAGGGCAAUUGCAAGCUGGGAAAACCAGCAGCUGCCUCGUGCGAGCUAUCAUGCAAUUCCUCUCACAGAUGAUGUUAUGCUCCCUCGAAAAAGGGCUGACAGCUGGAUGGAGGUCGAGCUUGGCGAGUUCUACAAUGGACAAGGCUGCGAUAGCGAGGUGUCUGUGUGCCUAAAGGAAACAGAAGGAGGAGUUUACAAGGCUGGUCUUAUUGUGUGGGGUAUUGAGAUUAGAACUAAGCGAUGA